Long non-coding RNA from Sitodiplosis mosellana (orange wheat blossom midge), 729 nucleotides. RefSeq lists it as uncharacterized. The record is from RefSeq and is a predicted model, not a curated record. The transcript is spliced from 3 exons. NCBI's taxonomy places the organism in Eukaryota, Metazoa, Arthropoda, Insecta, Diptera, Cecidomyiidae.
UUUUUUAUCCAAUCAAUUCCAACACCGAUACCUGCGCCGCCAACUGCACCACCCACACCACUCUUUUUACCCUCUUCAGCCGUAUUCGUGUUUGGCUUUAGCAUUCUUUUCUAGAGACUGUGUCCACAAGAAGAUUUGGCCGUUACAGUCGUUCGGCAUUUAUUGCGAGGAAAGAUGUUAAUAUCCUCGCAAACUUAGCACACCCUGUCCGAGCUCGACUAACCAACCCGGAACUGAUGAUUUUGGCCCCGUACUCAAUCGUGAGUGCAGUCUUCUCAGGGGUGGAAACCUUGGGAGUCGAAACCCAAAGGAGUAUAAGUGCCCCGGACUCAUCUGAUGUUGAUGAUGAGCCACUCCCUCCCGCCCAAUAUGGCACAAAACCUGAAGAAUUUGUCAAUUGUGAUAUGUUUUUUUUUCAGAUUCCAGCCAAUCAAAACCAUUUUGGACAUUCGGUUGAAAUGCCAUCUUGUCAAUUGAAUUUACGGCGAAGUGUUUUGGAUUUGCGAAAGAUAAAUCUGAAUGAAGUAAAGAUGAGUUCAAAUCGUUGCUUGACUUGAACGCCUUUAAUAAACUGAUUUCAAACGAAUUCUAUACUCAUUUUAUAUGAAAAAAAUCGUUAGUUUUUUGUGCAAAUAAAAUUCAACAACUGCAGUUCUUUAUACAUAGUUUCUGUUGAUCUCGGUUGCUACGUCACUUGUAAUCGUGAGAUUGAAAAGAUCAAUCGGUCAG